UACGUAGGGGGCAAGCGUUAUCCGGAUUCACUGGGCGUAAAGGGAGCGCAGGCGGCAUGGUAAGUCUGAUGUGAAAACCCGGGGCCCAACCCCGGGAGUGCAUUGGAAACUGCCAGGCUGGAGUGUCGGAGGGGUAAGCGGAAUUCCUAGUGUAGCGGUGAAAUGCGUAGACAUUAGGAGGAACACCAGUGGCGAAGGCGGCUUACUGGACGACUACUGACGCUGAGGCUCGAAAGCGUGGGGAGCAAACAGG
Molecule: ribosomal RNA, 253 nt
Filed under: uncultured bacterium
Lineage: Bacteria
Description: partial 16S ribosomal RNA
Rfam family: Bacterial small subunit ribosomal RNA
Source: RNAcentral